AGAUUGAACGCUGGCGGCAUGCCUUACACAUGCAAGUCGAACGGCAGCACGGGAGCAAUCCUGGUGGCGAGUGGCGAACGGGUGAGUAAUACAUCGGAACGUGCCCAAUCGUGGGGGAUAACGCAGCGAAAGCUGUGCUAAUACCGCAUAAGAUCUACGGAUGAAAGCAGGGGAUCGCAAGACCUUGCGCGAAUGGAGCGGCGAUGGCAGAUUAGGUAGUGGUGAGGUAAAGCUCACCAAGCCUUCGAUCUGUAGCUGGUCUGAGAGGACGACCAGCCCACGACGUGGGACUGACGACGUACCGGCCCAGACUCCGUAACGGGAGC
Molecule: ribosomal RNA, 326 nt
Filed under: uncultured soil bacterium
Lineage: Bacteria
Description: bacterial SSU rRNA
Rfam family: Bacterial small subunit ribosomal RNA
Source: RNAcentral